RNAcentral lists this transfer RNA (75 nucleotides) under Candidatus Woesearchaeota archaeon. RNAcentral's name for it is "tRNA-Pro". It matches the Rfam family "tRNA". From Rfam's summary of the family: Transfer RNA (tRNA) molecules are approximately 80 nucleotides in length. Their secondary structure includes four short double-helical elements and three loops (D, anti-codon, and T loops). The record is from RNAcentral. Lineage: Archaea; Nanobdellati; Candidatus Woesearchaeota.
GGGGCCGUAGGGUAGCUUGGUUUAUCCUUCCGGCUUUGGGAGCCGGCGACGGGAGUUCGAAUCUCUCCGGCCCCA